RNAcentral lists this ribosomal RNA (270 nucleotides) under uncultured archaeon. RNAcentral describes it as "partial 16S ribosomal RNA". It matches the Rfam family "Archaeal small subunit ribosomal RNA", at positions 477 to 747 of the family's 1478-position model. The record is from RNAcentral.
CAGCACCUCAAGUGGUCAGGAUGAUUAUUGGGCCUAAAGCAUCCGUAGCCGGCGCUGUAAGUUUUCGGUUAAAUCUGUACGCUCAACGUACAGGCUGCCGGGAAUACUGCAGCGCUAGGGAGUGGGAGAGGUGGACGGUACUCGGUAGGAAGGGGUAAAAUCCUUUGAUCUAUUGAUGACCACCUGUGGCGAAGGCGGUCUGCCAGAACACGUCCGACGGUGAGGGAUGAAAGCUGGGGGAGCAAACCGGAUUAGAGACCCGAGUAGUCC